GACGAACGCUGGCGGCGUGCCUAAUACAUGCAAGUCGAACGAACUCUGGUAUUGAUUGGUGCUUGCAUCAUGAUUUACAUUUGAGUGAGUGGCGAACUGGUGAGUAACACGUGGGAAACCUGCCCAGAAGCGGGGGAUAACACCUGGAAACAGAUGCUAAUACCGCAUAACAACUUGGACCGCAUGGUCCGAGUUUGAAAGAUGGCUUCGGCUAUCACUUUUGGAUGGUCCCGCGGCGUAUUAGCUAGAUGGUGGGGUAACGGCUCACCAUGGCAAUGAUACGUAGCCGACCUGAGAGGGUAAUCGGCCACAUUGGGACUGAGACACGGNCCAAACUCCUACGGGAGGCAGCAGUAGGGAAUCUUCCACAAUGGACGAAAGUCUGAUGGAGCAACGCCGCGUGAGUGAAGAAGGGUUUCGGCUCGUAAAACUCUGUUGUUAAAGAAGAACAUAUCUGAGAGUAACUGUUCAGGUAUUGACGGUAUUUAACCAGAAAGCCACGGCUAACUACGUGCCAGCAGCCGCGGUAAUACGUAGGUGGCAAGCGUUGUCCGGAUUUAUUGGGCGUAAAGCGAGCGCAGGCGGUUUUUUAAGUCUGAUGUGAAAGCCUUCGGCUCAACCGAAGAAGUGCAUCGGAAACUGGGAAACUUGAGUGCANAAGAGGACAGUGGAACUCCAUGUGUAGCGGUGAAAUGCGUAGAUAUAUGGAAGAACACCAGUGGCGAAGGCGGCUGUCUGGUCUGUAACUGACGCUGAGGCUCGAAAGUAUGGGUAGCAAACAGGAUUAGAUACCCUGGUAGUCCAUACCGUAAACGAUGAAUGCUAAGUGUUGGAGGGUUUCCGCCCUUCAGUGCUGCAGCUAACGCAUUAAGCAUUCCGCCUGGGGAGUACGGCCGCAAGGCUGAAACUCAAAGGAAUUGACGGGGGCCCGCACAAGCGGUGGAGCAUGUGGUUUAAUUCGAAGCUACGCGAAGAACCUUACCAGGUCUUGACAUACUAUGCAAAUCUAAGAGAUUAGACGUUCCCUUCGGGGACAUGGAUACAGGUGGUGCAUGGUUGUCGUCAGCUCGUGUCGUGAGAUGUUGGGUUAAGUCCCGCAACGAGCGCAACCCUUAUUAUCAGUUGCCAGCAUUAAGUUGGGCACUCUGGUGAGACUGCCGGUGACAAACCGGAGGAAGGUGGGGAUGACGUCAAAUCAUCAUGCCCCUUAUGACCUGGGCUACACACGUGCUACAAUGGAUGGUACAACGAGUUGCGAACUCGCGAGAGUAAGCUAAUCUCUUAAAGCCAUUCUCAGUUCGGAUUGUAGGCUGCAACUCGCCUACAUGAAGUCGGAAUCGCUAGUAAUCGCGGAUCAGCAUGCCGCGGUGAAUACGUUCCCGGGCCUUGUACACACCGCCCGUCACACCAUGAGAGUUUGUAACACCCAAAGUCGGUGGGGUAACCUUUUAGGAACCAGCCGCCUAAGGUGGGACAGAUGAUUAGGGUGAAG
This 1492-nucleotide ribosomal RNA is filed under the name Lactobacillus sp. NBRC 107285. Its description in RNAcentral is "bacterial SSU rRNA". It matches the Rfam family "Bacterial small subunit ribosomal RNA". The record is from RNAcentral. Lineage: Bacteria; Bacillati; Bacillota; Bacilli; Lactobacillales; Lactobacillaceae.